UGAGUGGCGGACGGGUGAGUAACGCGUGGGUAACCUGCCCUGUACAGGGGGAUAACAGUUAGAAAUGACUGCUAAUACCGCAUAAGCACACGAAGGGGCAUCUCUUUGUGUGAAAAACUCCGGUGGUACAGGAUGGGCCCGCGUCUGAUUAGCCAGUUGGCAGGGUAACGGCCUACCAAAGCGACGAUCAGUAGCCGGUCUGAGAGGAUGAACGGCCACAUUGGAACUGAGACACGGUCCAAACUCCUACGGGAGGCAGCAGUGGGGAAUAUUGCACAAUGGGGGAAACCCUGAUGCAGCAACGCCGCGUGAGUGAGGAAGUAUUUCGGUAUGUAAAGCUCUAUCAGCAGGGAAGAUAAUGACGGUACCUGACGAAGAAGCUCCGGCUAAAUACGUGCCAGCAGCCGCGGUAAUACGUAUGGAGCAAGCGUUAUCCGGAUUUACUGGGUGUAAAGGGUGCGUAGGUGGUCUGGCAAGUCUGAUGUGAAAUGCCGGGGCUCAACCCCGGAGCUGCAUUGGAAACUGCUGGACUGGAGUGCAGGAGAGGCAGGCGGAAUUCCUAGUGUAGCGGUGAAAUGCGUAGAUAUUAGGAAGAACACCAGUGGCGAAGGCGGCCUGCUGGACUGA
This 627-nucleotide ribosomal RNA is filed under the name uncultured rumen bacterium. Its description in RNAcentral is "bacterial SSU rRNA". It matches the Rfam family "Bacterial small subunit ribosomal RNA", at positions 92 to 737 of the family's 1533-position model. The record is from RNAcentral.